This 460-nucleotide ribosomal RNA is filed under the name uncultured bacterium. RNAcentral's name for it is "partial 16S ribosomal RNA". It matches the Rfam family "Bacterial small subunit ribosomal RNA", at positions 338 to 795 of the family's 1533-position model. The record is from RNAcentral.
CCUACGGGAGGCAGCAGUGAGGCAUAUUGGUCAAUGGGCGUAAGCCUGAACCAGCCAAGUCGCGUGAGGGAUGAAGGUUCUAUGGAGCGUAACCCUCUUUUAUAAGGGAAUAAAGUGCGGGACGUGUCCCGUUUUGUAUGUACCUUAUGAAUAAGGAUCGGCUAACGCCGUGCCAGCAGCCGCGGUAAUACUGAGGAUCCGAGCGUUAUCCGGAUUUAUUGGGUUUAAAGGGUGCGUAGGCGGCCUUUUAAGUCAGCGGUGAAAGUCUGUGGCUCAACCAUAGAAUUGCCGUUGAAACUGGGAGGCUGGAGUGUGUUUGAGGCUGGCGGAAUGCGUGGUGUAGCGGUGAAAUGCUUAGAUAUCACGCAGAACCCCGAUUGCGAAGGCAGCCUGCCAAGCCAUGACUGACGCUGAUGCACGAAAGCGUGGGGAUCAAACAGGAUUAGAUACCCCAGUAGUC